AUGACAUUAAAAGGCAGGGAAGGGAACGUUGUGGAGACAGAAAUAGACUCACUGCUCCUGCUGAUGGCAGUCUAUGAGGAACAAGAAGCCCAGCAGAAGGAUGUUGCAAACACCAGCCUCACACCGAGUCUUGACCUUCACCAGGUUGAACUCUCCGCAUUCCAGCCAAUUACUGGAGGAGAGAUUGAAGUCAAUUCCUCAGCGCUCAAGUCUAACACACCACUGUUGGUGAGAAGCAGCAGUGACUCAGCCCUCAAUCCCCAAACAACAGAGGUCGAAGCCACCUUCGGUGAAGAAGACUCUGUGAUGGUAAGAACCAUAACCUGUUAUUUAGAAAAAUUUAUACAUCAAAGAAGUACCUGAACACAUGAAAAUUUGUUUCAGAUGCAUAUCAGACACCUAUAAAUAUAAACUUAAAGUCAAACUGGAGCAAAACUAUGUAAAAAUUUUCAAUCUUUUGUCUUAUUUUUCUGCACUUGGCUCAUCUUAUUGAACUAUGUGCGGGGUUGUUGGUGUUAAGUGGACUAGUGACAUUUACUAUAUCAUAUAUACCUGCAAACUUGUUGCUUUUCGGUUUAAAUCGCUGUUUUUGAGCCAAGCCAAAUAUAGCGUUCACGUGAAUCAUAUAGAUCCGAACCGUUUUUGUUUUGGGUGGUCCUUCUGUUGGGUUUCAGUAACUUUUUAUGCGAAUCAGUCAGAGAAAGGAGGGGUAUUCAUCAUGUUCACAACCUAUCUUUUUUAUUGCGCAUCAGUCAUUUGACCAAUCACAGUCGCAGAGACUUAGGGCAAGUAUGCAGGUAAAUCAAAAUAUUCUUCAUCGAAGAUUUUCUUAUCCAACUGAUUAUUCCAAAAGUGUUCAAAUGAAGGCAACUGCACUUUGUGUUUCUUGAAGACGUUUCGCUUCUCAUCCCAAGAGCUUUAUCAAUUCUGACUAGAAUAUGGGAGAAUCAAGCUUAUAAACUGUAGCUGCCAUUUGUUACUCAAUGAGCAGAAACUACCUAUGACUACCCCCCUCCCCAACCCCUGAUGAGUCAGUAGCCUCGAUUGUAUGGGGGCCAUUGUGUUGUUUAGAUGCAGGAGGGUGUGACCUGGACCUAGACAGAAACUGUUUGGGGGUAAGAUUCAGAGCUGCAUUAUAGGCGCUCAACUGAUUAUUGCCAAAAUAACUAUGUUGUUAACAUUUCCAUAAGUACUCAAAUGUAGCUUGUACAUGUGUCCCCUAAUAUUAUUACAUAAAACACAGACUUAACAUUAUAUACAAUAUGAGCUCUUCAGCUCUUGUGUGGUAUCAUAGCCAGAUUGCCAUUAAAAAUGCAAAGCACAUUAAGAACCUCAAGGGUAUUCACUUUGAUUUUAAUGACCUUGUGCCCCUUUCUCUUUUGACAAAUGAUGACAUUUGCACCACUGUUCAUAACGUAAUGAAAAUCCUAAUGAAAUCUUGUUGAUCUGAUUAUGCCUGGAUACCUAUGAUUCAUUAGAUUUUAGUUUCUGCACUAUUUUAAAUGUUUUUGGGCCCAGAAAAUGUGGAAAAGGUCACACAUGUUUGAUUAGUUAUAGUAAAGUCCCCUUUGAUAGCAACAGGUUGUCAUUUUUAAACAUCAGGAAAAGAUAAUUUCCCAAUAUUACACUGUUUAUGUUUGCCUUCUUAUAAAUAGAUAGAAGAUAAAGAACUAAAUGUAAGCAUAUGCUGAGACUAGUAUAAGAGCACAUGUGCUGUAAAUGAUUUCAGGUAAGCAGCUCCAUUAAAUCCUCAAGUGGGAAACUGUCACAGGUCAGCAGGGUCCCUGUGUGCAUGUGUAUGGGAAAGGGUUUGAGUAAAUUAUGCCUUUUGUUCAUGUCCUUUCGUAUUCAGACACAUUUUGUCACAUCAGGUUCCAUUAACAAAGACGGAUGAGUCUCAAGUGUUUCCCCCUCCGUCUUUCCAUACUUUCCCUCCCUUACUCAGAGGUCAGAGGGCACAGUAUUUUUUGUUUGCCUCAUCUGCUUCUUCCUCUUCUCUUUUCUUACUAGCACUGAUCUCAUUUUCACAUCUGCCCCCCUUUUCAGUGUGUCUCCUGUUGUCACUACAGUGAAUUUUCAUGACAGAAGGGUCCUUUUGUGAUUUACAUAGGCUCAUUUUUAGACUUGUUUGACUUUAUCUUUGUCUCUAACGUGGUUGCCCCAAUCUGCAUUUAAAGUUUCCCUUAUCUCUAUUUAUUCAGAGUUAAAAAUCCUAUUUAAAUAUUUUUUCCAGUUCCCAAUAUUUUUUUUUUUGCAUUGCCCCUAAUGUUCUUUUAUCUAAUACUCCUUGUUAUACAGUAAAUAUAAUAGAUAAUUACAAUAAAACAGCCCCAUUCAUGGGUUUACUUUGCUUUUACAAUAAAUAAAUUAAUGUUAGGACAUGCAUGGUUAGAGGUCUAGAUUUUAUUGUUAUUGAUGGUGUUACUGUUUUGCAUUCCCUCUACAUCGUUGGACAAAGUCCCUGAAGUUAACUGCUUAAAUUAUCUCGAUGUCUGAUUGGACUGUCGAGUGAUCUGACUUCUUCCCUUGAGACUCCUCACUGGACAAACAUCCUUUUUAAUCAGCCCUUUUAUUCCCCUUAGAAAGAUGUGGUUGCAAGGUUUGGUUUGUUUGGGGAAUAUGGUUGCUUCUCAGAGGUGGUCAGUGUUUUUUCUUUUCUUCCUGUUACUGGGGGCAACCUAAGAUGUUUGUGAAACAAUACAACAUGUCCUCAGGAUCCAUUAAAUACGUAACUAUUUGAUUCUAUUGUUCCUAUUUAUAUAUUUUCAAAUCAAAGCUAAUUAAAGUAGGCAAACAAUUGGAUUUAAUACAUUUAAUUGAUAUGUCUUCACCAUGUAUUAGCCAUAUUACGCCUGUCCUGGUACGUCUUCAGUGGCUCCCUGUCAUUUUCAGAAUACAGUUAUUGACUUUUGUAUUUAAACCACUUAACGACCUGGCACCCCUCUAUCUCUCUGACCUGCUUACUCCCUAUGUACCCACGGCGUGGGUAACAAAGCAGCAUGGAGACACUCCGUCUCCAACCACCUCUCAGGCAGCAGCCUGCACUCCCAAGUUCUACACGUCACCAGAACAUAACCAACCACAACACAAUAAAAGCAGUGUUAUACAAAAUGGGAGGCCUGUAGUGUUUAUUCUCUUACAGUAACAAUUAAUCAAUUUUUGGGAGGAAUUUAUUUGAGAUUUUCUUGUUUUUAUUAAUUGUGCAAUAAGAAAAUAAUCGCUAGAUUAAUCGUCUAAAUAGUCAUUAGAAUUGUCGACUAUUCGAUAAAAUAAUCGUCAGAAUAAUCGUUUUAAAAAUAAUUGUUUACCCCCAGCCCUAACCCACGCGCACGUUGAGGUCGGCUGACCUCCUGCUGCUGUGAACGCUCCAGAUGCGAUACAAAUCGCGGGGUGAACUAGCAUUUGUGCAUGCUGCCCCAAAGCUGUGGAACUCGUUACCCAGUGGAGUUCGUCAGGCUCCAUCAUUGGCGGUUUUGAAAUCUCGUUUAAAGACCCACUUUUACGAUGUGGCUUUAAAACAGUGACUCGUUUUAGUGUUUUAUUGUGUUAACGUGUUCUUAGUGUUCCUCAUGUUUUAUCUGCUUUUGAUUGGUAUUUUAUCUUCUGUUUUAGUUCCUUAGAUUGGUUGUGUUUUGGUUUAGCCUGUGCAGCACUUUGGGCAGCUUCCAUGCUGCGUUUUAAACAUGCUAUAUAAAUAAACUAUGGUAUGGUAUGGUAUGGUAUGUAGAGCCACAAAUGCAGAUUUAUUAUUACAUUAAAAUGUCACGAAUACCAAAACAGUGCACAGGGCUUUUUAACUACGAGCUAGAAGCAUUAAAGAAUAUAUAUUCAUAUAUAUUGGAUUCAAUGUUUAUUUUGAACAUGUAAAAAUAAAAUAAAGAACAAAAAACAUAAUAAUCAAAAUAUGCAAAUUGGAUAAAAACAAUAAAGAUGAGAAAUAAUACACUCUGAUUUAAGUAAUGAAUUUACAAAUCUGAAAUGAGUGGGAUGAAGUGAAAAUUUAUUGCAACGCACCCCUUCAUAUUAAUUCAAUAUCAACAACUAAUUUGGCUCCCAAUCAACACCAUAUAUAAAUACUAAUAACACCAAUAUUACUCUUUGUGGGCAGCAUAGCACAGGAGGUAGAGCGGGUUGUCCAGUAAUAGGAAAGUUGCAGGUUUGAUCCCGACUCAGACCAGAGAAUGCUGCUGUUGUGUCCUUGGGCAAGACAUUUAACCCGCCUUUCCUGCUGGUGGUGGUCAGAAGGACCAGUGGCGCCAGUGUUCGACAGACCUCUUCUGUCAGUGCACCCCAAGGCGGCUGUGGCUACAUCGAAUCUCACCCCACUGUUGAGGGUCUGACCUCAUGAGGAAAUUACUAUGCAGUGAUUUUCUCCAAAAUGACUGUGCUUAAAUUGCUCUGA
Nothobranchius furzeri (turquoise killifish) is the source of this 4402-nucleotide long non-coding RNA. The record is from Ensembl. Lineage: Eukaryota; Metazoa; Chordata; Actinopteri; Cyprinodontiformes; Nothobranchiidae.